CCUCUAUAUAAAGCAUAAAUCCAGUCUUGAACAUUUCAUCUUGUGAUGGGGAAGAAUUCAUGGCUGAAUGCUGUGAAGAAGGCCUUCAGAUCUCCCACCAAUGAUGAGAAGAAGAUCACCACAACAAGAGAUGAAGAAAACCACCAAAAAGAUGAAGAAAAAAAAAACGGGAAGAAGAGAUGGAUUUUUCGGAAGAAUCUAAGCAUUGAGACGGCGAAAUGUGCGAAUUCUUCGGCAGUGAGGAUUUGCGGCGGAGAAGAGAUCAGGAGGAAGCAGCCCAAAAUGGAGGAACAGAAGCGUCCUUUUGCGGCGGCGGCGGAGGAGAAUGUUUUGGUGAGAGAAGACAAGGCGGCGAUUCUCAUUCAGAGAAUCUUCAGAGGAUACCUGAUUGUUCGCACAAAGUACUUCGAUAUGCCCCCUCUGACUAUUAGUGAGGCAGUUGAGCAGCUGGAAAACCUCGAUCAUGACUUCUAUGGCUUUCGCAACGAAGAAACUGGUAAGCUGACUUCACGUCUUUUCAUCUUUAUAUAUGACAGGGCUCCUCACGGACGCUUACGCUAGAGAGUGCCAUGUUGCAUUGUAACGCCCGUACUUUUUAAGUACUAAUUUUAAAUUGUCGUGAAUUAGUUAAAAAAAAAUUCGUCAUGCUUUGCUUCUAUUUGUUUUUAUAAAAUGGCUUUGGGCCAUGACAAUCAUAAAGGUCCAACAAAUAAAUAAUCAUACAAAUUUGGGCUUACAACUAAAUGAGCCCAAAACAAAUUUAAUUAAAGUGUGGGAGCCCAAUUCAAUUCCAAAAAAUGUGGGAGCAAGCCCAACACGUUUUUUUUUUCUUUCUUCCCUCUUGGCCGAUUCCUCCCUCCAUGAGACUCCCCAUCUUUCAACUUCUCAACUCUCCAUCUUCUACAAUAAAUCGUACAAAUCAAGGGUCACGCAUUAAUCCAUAAAGCUCCUUCAUGUAUCCCCUCCCCUAACUCCUCACAAUACACUUUACAUCUUCAAACAAAAAAAAUUGAGAGAGAGAGAGUGCUGAGAGAAAGAGCCGAGAGGAGAAGAAGUAGAAGAAGUUGCUACCAUUCUUUUGUUUUCUCCACAACCAAGUUAAAUUCAUUGAGGUUGUUCGCACGCUCGUUAAAGUCGGAUCGAGAA
Molecule: RNA transcript, 1146 nt
Organism: Salvia splendens (bonfire salvia)
Lineage: Eukaryota; Viridiplantae; Streptophyta; Magnoliopsida; Lamiales; Lamiaceae
Gene name: ribosome-binding factor PSRP1, chloroplastic
Exons: 4
Source: RefSeq, a predicted model, not a curated record